GGAUUGGGAUAUAUCGGUCAUGCCUUUAGGGGCAUGAAUCGGUGUGUAGCCAAUUUCUCACCUUCUGGUGAAUUGGGAUGCUCUUGGGUGUUUCAAUGAACUAGGACUUUUACUUUGAAAAAAUAUAGUGUUUAAAGCGGGCAUUUUUGCUUGAAUACAUUAGCAUGGAAUAAUAAAAUAGGACGAUGGUUCUAUUUUGUUGGUUUUAGGACCACGUAAUGAUUA
RNAcentral lists this ribosomal RNA (225 nucleotides) under uncultured Glomeromycotina. RNAcentral's name for it is "partial small subunit ribosomal RNA". The stretch from base 94 to 225 matches the Rfam family "Eukaryotic small subunit ribosomal RNA", at positions 736 to 871 of the family's 1831-position model. The record is from RNAcentral. Lineage: Eukaryota; Fungi; Glomeromycota.